RNAcentral lists this long non-coding RNA (389 nucleotides) under Vigna radiata. RNAcentral's name for it is "long non-coding RNA (VRAD_LNC009937)". The record is from RNAcentral. Lineage: Eukaryota; Viridiplantae; Streptophyta; Magnoliopsida; Fabales; Fabaceae.
UGGGCAAUAGUGUUAGCGACCUCGUGCUAGUGGGUGGCCUUGAGGUUGUCGUAGCCGAGGAAUACCACUUGUCGCGGUAGGCAUCGAUAAGGGCGAUUGUCUCAUUGGGUGACCAGCAGGGAGGAGGAAGGUAGUGGGAGGAGGGAGGCGCGGUGAGAGGAAGGGGAUUCUCUACUACUACUAUUUGCACCACUCCAUUCACCAGGUAAAUACUUUCUUCACUAUAGACGCAGAGUGGGUGCUAACCCAGCUUGGAUAUUAAAAUGUGAUAUUUUAAUUAUUAUUAUUCAAACAAAAUAUUUUAAAAAUAAAAACAAUUUGAUUAUAAGAAAUUAAAAUAUGAUUCAAAUAUAAUGUAUUUCACCCUUUUGAUAUUGUUGAAAUUUUUU